GAUGAACGCUAGCGGCAGGCUUAACACAUGCAAGUCGAGGGGCAGCAUAAUGGAUAGCAAUAUCUAUGGUGGCGACCGGCGCACGGGUGCGUAACGCGUAUGCAACCUACCUUUAACAGGGGGAUAACACUGAGAAAUUGGUACUAAUACCCCAUAAGCGCACGGUAUCGCAUGAUACAGUGUGAAAAACUCCGGUGGUAUAAGAUGGACCCGCGUCUGAUUAGCUUGUUGGUGAGGUAACGGCCCACCAAGGCGACGAUCAGUAGCCGGCCUGAGAGGGUGAACGGCCACAUUGGGACUGAGACACGGCCCAAACUCCUACGGGAGGCAGCAGUGGGGAAUAUUGCACAAUGGGGGAAACCCUGAUGCAGCGACGCCGCGCGAGUGAUGAAGUAUUUCGGUAUGUAAAACUCUAUCAGCAGGGAAGAUAAUGACGGUGCCUGACUAAGAAGCACCGGCUAAAUACGUGCCAGCAGCCG
Molecule: ribosomal RNA, 479 nt
Filed under: uncultured bacterium
Lineage: Bacteria
Description: bacterial SSU rRNA
Rfam family: Bacterial small subunit ribosomal RNA
Source: RNAcentral